RNAcentral lists this ribosomal RNA (467 nucleotides) under uncultured bacterium. Its description in RNAcentral is "bacterial SSU rRNA". It matches the Rfam family "Bacterial small subunit ribosomal RNA", at positions 1 to 460 of the family's 1533-position model. The record is from RNAcentral.
CCCUUAGAGUUUGAUCCUGGCUCAGGAUGAACGCUAGCUACAGGCUUAACACAUGCAAGUCGAGGGGCAGCAUGGUCUUAGCUUGCUAAGGCCGAUGGCGACCGGCGCACGGGUGAGUAACGCGUAUCCAACCUGCCUUACACUCUUGGAUAACCUUCUGAAAGGGAGAUUAAUACAAGAUGUUAUCAUGAGUAAGCAUUUUCGCAUGAUUAAAGGUUUACCGGUGUAAGAUGGGGAUGCGUUCCAUUAGAUAGUAGGCGGGGUAACGGCCCACCUAGUCUUCGAUGGAUAGGGGUUCUGAGAGGAAGGUCCCCCACAUUGGAACUGAGACACGGUCCAAACUCCUACGGGAGGCAGCAGUGAGGAAUAUUGGUCAAUGGACGAGAGUCUGAACCAGCCAAGUAGCGUGAAGGAUGAAGGUUCUAUGGAUUGUAAACUUCUUUUAUACGGGAAUAAACGAAUCCACG